AGAGUUUGAUCCUGGCUCAGAAUGAAUGCUAGUGAUUAGCUUAACACAUGCAAGUUAAACAUAGUUUAGCGAACGGGUGAGUAAUACAUAAAAAUUAACCUUAAAUAUUUUUUAUUUAAGAAGAGUUUAUGCAGAAUUAAGUAGUUGGUAAAUUAAUUGUUUUACCAAGCUUAUGAUUCUUAGUUGGUCUUUGCGGAUGAACAGCCACAUUGGAACUGAGACACGGUCCAAACUCUUAUAAGAGGCAGCAGUGGGGGAUUUUAGGCAAUGAGCGAAAGCUUGACCUAGCUAGAUCACGUGUGUGAAGAAGAUUAUUUAAUUGUAAAGCACUUUAUUAAUUAUUUAAUUGUGAUAAAAAUUAAAAAAAACCCUGGCUAAUUUCGUGCCAGCAGCCGCGGUAAAACGGAAAGGGUUAGUGUUAUUCGGUUUGAUUGGGCGUAAAGGAUACGUAGGUUGAAAAUUAACUAACAAUUAAAAUAUAAAAAUUUAUUUUUUGUCACGUUGUUAAAGUUAUUUUCUAGAGUUUAGAAGAAGAUUAUAGAAUUUUGGGUGUAACGGUAAAAUGUAUUGAUACUCGAAGGAAUCUCUAAAGCGCAAGCAAUAAUCUAGUUUAAAACUGACACUGAGGUAUGAAAGCGUGGGUAUCAAAUGGGAUUAGAUACCCCUCUAGUCCACGCCCUCAACUAUGGAUGUUAUUUUUUGGGUUUUUCUCAGAAAAACAGCUAACGCGUUAAACAUCCCGCCUGGGAACUACGAUCGCAAGAUUAAAACUCAAAGGAAUUGACGGGGACCUGCACAAGUAGUGGAGCAUGUGGUUUAAAUCGACAAUACGCGCGAAACCUUACCAACUUUUGUAUAAAUUAAGUUUUACAGGAGUUGCAUGGCUGUCGUCAGUCCGUGCUGUGAAGCGUUUGGUUUAUUCCAACAAACGGACGUAACUUUCGUAUGUAUUAAUUAUAUAUACCGCUAGGGAUAUCUUAGAGGAAGGAGAAAAUGACGUCAAGUCCUUAUGACCCUAAUAAGUUGGGCUACUUUCAUGUGCUACAAUAAAAAUGCCAAUUACAAGCUAAAAUGCCAAUUUAAGCAAUUAUAAAACAUUUUUCCGGAUUGUUUUCUGAAACUCAAAAACAUGAAGCUGGAAUUACAAGUAAUCGUAGAUAAGAAUGCUACGGUGAAACCGUUCUCAGGUCUUGUACACACCGCCCGUCACACUAUGGAAAGUUUUUUAUUCUAAAGUUGUAAAUCAAUUCAAAGUAAAAAACAAACUGAAGUGAAGUCGUAACAAGGUAGCCGUAGGGGAACCUGCGGCUG
Molecule: non-coding RNA, 1311 nt
Filed under: museum specimen metagenome
Description: bacterial SSU rRNA
Rfam family: Bacterial small subunit ribosomal RNA
Source: RNAcentral